UUUGAGCAUUACUCAAUACAUGUUACAUAGUGCCUGACACCUGAUUAGCAAACUAUAAAUGCUUAGCCCUUGACUUAAAGAGAGCUGAGUUAUGCCUGGAUCUUCAAUGAAUACCCUUCCUAUCAGGAUAAUCGCCGCUUUGUUUCUCAAGAGACUGGGAAUCUGUAUAUUGCCAAAGUAGAAAAAUCAGAUGUUGGGAAUUAUACCUGUGUGGUUACCAAUACCGUGACAAACCACAAGGUCCUGGGGCCACCUACACCACUAAUAUUGAGAAAUGAUGGAGUGAUGGGUGAAUAUGAGCCCAAAAUAGAAGUGCAGUUCCCAGAAACAGUUCCGACUGCAAAAGGAGCAACGGUGAAGCUGGAAUGCUUUGCUUUAGGAAAUCCAGUACCAACUAUUAUCUGGCGAAGAGCUGAUGGAAAGCCAAUAGCAAGGAAAGCCAGAAGACACAAGUCAAAUGGAAUUCUUGAGAUCCCUAAUUUUCAGCAGGAGGAUGCUGGUUUAUAUGAAUGUGUAGCUGAAAAUUCCAGAGGGAAAAAUGUAGCAAGGGGACAGCUAACUUUCUAUG
RNAcentral lists this small RNA (568 nucleotides) under Pan troglodytes (chimpanzee). Its description in RNAcentral is "processed transcript". Lineage: Eukaryota; Metazoa; Chordata; Mammalia; Primates; Hominidae. The record is from RNAcentral.